RNAcentral lists this ribosomal RNA (165 nucleotides) under uncultured bacterium. RNAcentral's name for it is "partial 16S ribosomal RNA". It matches the Rfam family "Bacterial small subunit ribosomal RNA", at positions 355 to 511 of the family's 1533-position model. The record is from RNAcentral.
UAGGGAAUCUUCCACAAUGGGCGCAAGCCUGAUGGAGCAACACCGCGUGAGUGAAGAAGGGUUUCGGCUCGUAAAGCUCUGUUGUUAGAGAAGAACGUUGGUGAGAGUGGAAAGCUCAUCAAGUGACGGUAACUACCCAGAAAGGGACGGCUAACUACGUGCCAG